GAUGAAGAACGUAGCGAAAUGCGAUACGUAAUGUGAAUUGCAAAUUCAGUGAAUCAUCGAGUCUUUGAACGCACAUUGCGCCCCCUGGUAUUCCGGGGGGCAUGCCUGUCCGAGCGUCAUUGCUGCCCUCAAGCACGGCUUGUGUGUUGGGCCCCGUCCUCCGAUCCCGGGGGACGGGCCCGAAAGGCAGCGGCGGCACCGCGUCCGGUCCUCGAGCGUAUGGGGCUUUGUCACCCGCUCUGUAGGCCCGGCCGGCGCUUGCCGAUCAACCCAAAUUUUUUAUCCAGGUUGACUUCGGAUCAGGUAGGGAUACCCGCUGAACUUAAGCAUAUCAAUAAGCGGAGGA
Molecule: unclassified non-coding RNA, 346 nt
Filed under: soil metagenome
Description: partial contains 5.8S ribosomal RNA, internal transcribed spacer 2, and large subunit ribosomal RNA
Rfam family: 5.8S ribosomal RNA (bases 1-119)
Source: RNAcentral